AAUAGGCUAAUUAAGAGCGUAAGGGGAAUACCUUGGCUCUCAGAGGCGAUGAAGGACGUGAUAAGCUGCGAUAAGUUACGGGGAAUGGCACAAACAUUUUGAUCCGUAAAUUUCCGAAUGGGGCAACCCGGCAUAUUGAAGAUAUGUCACACUGUAAAGUGAGCAAACCUGGUGAACUGAAACAUCUAAGUAACCAGAGGAAUAGAAAACAAAAGUGAUUCCGCUAGUAGUGGCGAGCGAACGCGGAAUAGCCCAAACCUAAAUUGCUACGGCAAUUUAGGGGUUGUAGGACCUCAACAUUUAAUGCUAAUAGAACUAGAAUUUACUGGAAAGUAAACCAA
RNAcentral lists this ribosomal RNA (341 nucleotides) under uncultured Flavobacteriaceae bacterium. RNAcentral's name for it is "bacterial LSU rRNA". It matches the Rfam family "Bacterial large subunit ribosomal RNA", at positions 1 to 357 of the family's 2925-position model. Lineage: Bacteria; Pseudomonadati; Bacteroidota; Flavobacteriia; Flavobacteriales; Flavobacteriaceae. The record is from RNAcentral.